CCUACGGGGGGCAGCAGUGAGGAAUAUUGGUCAAUGGACGAGAGUCUGAACCAGCCAAGUAGCGUGAAGGAUGACUGCCCUAUGGGUUGUAAACUUCUUUUAUAUGGGAGUAAAAUGUUCCACGUGUGGGAUUUUGUAUGUACCAUAUGAAUAAGGAUCGGCUAACUCCGUGCCAGCAGCCGCGGUAAUACGGAGGAUCCGAGCGUUAUCCGGAUUUAUUGGGUGUAAAGGGAGCGUAGGUGGAUUGUUAAGUCAGUUGUGAAAGUUUGCGGCUCAACCGUAAAAUUGCAGUUGAAACUGGCAGUCUUGAGUACAGUAGAGGUGGGCGGAAUUCGUGGUGUAGCGGUGAAAUGCUUAGAUAUCACGAAGAACUCCGAUUGCGAAGGCAGUUCACUGGACUGCAACUGACACUGAGGCUCGAAAGUGUGGGUAUCAAACAGGAUUAGAUACCCGAGUAGUC
RNAcentral lists this ribosomal RNA (460 nucleotides) under uncultured bacterium. Its description in RNAcentral is "partial 16S ribosomal RNA". It matches the Rfam family "Bacterial small subunit ribosomal RNA", at positions 338 to 795 of the family's 1533-position model. The record is from RNAcentral.